RNAcentral lists this ribosomal RNA (662 nucleotides) under uncultured Flavobacterium sp. RNAcentral describes it as "bacterial SSU rRNA". It matches the Rfam family "Bacterial small subunit ribosomal RNA", at positions 84 to 744 of the family's 1533-position model. The record is from RNAcentral. Lineage: Bacteria; Pseudomonadati; Bacteroidota; Flavobacteriia; Flavobacteriales; Flavobacteriaceae.
GGAUAUAGAGACCGGCGCACGGGUGCGUAACGCGUAUGCAAUCUACCUUUUACAGAGGGAUAGCCCAGAGAAAUUUGGAUUAAUACCUCAUAGUAUAGCUCUACCGCAUGGUAGUACUAUUAAAGUCACAACGGUAAAAGAUGAGCAUGCGUCCCAUUAGCUAGUUGGUAAGGUAACGGCUUACCAAGGCAACGAUGGGUAGGGGUCCUGAGAGGGAGAUCCCCCACACUGGUACUGAGACACGGACCAGACUCCUACGGGAGGCAGCAGUGAGGAAUAUUGGACAAUGGGCGCAAGCCUGAUCCAGCCAUGCCGCGUGCAGGAUGACGGUCCUAUGGAUUGUAAACUGCUUUUGUACGAGAAGAAACACUGCUUCGUGAAGCAGCUUGACGGUAUCGUAAGAAUAAGGAUCGGCUAACUCCGUGCCAGCAGCCGCGGUAAUACGGAGGAUCCAAGCGUUAUCCGGAAUCAUUGGGUUUAAAGGGUCCGUAGGCGGUUUAGUAAGUCAGUGGUGAAAGCCCAUCGCUCAACGGUGGAACGGCCAUUGAUACUGCUGAACUUGAAUUAUUAGGAAGUAACUAGAAUAUGUAGUGUAGCGGUGAAAUGCUUAGAGAUUACAUGGAAUACCAAUUGCGAAGGCAGGUUACUACUAAUUGAUUGAC